CCCAUGACACUGCUGUAGGUGGAAUUACAAAAUUGUAUAAACAAGUGUGAAACGGUGGCCAAAAUUCUACAUAAAGUGGGCAGCAACAUUUAUAAACUCCCGCAAUAUCAAUCCAGGUAUGGGUAUGGAUCUGAAAAUGUAAAUUGAGUUACACCUUCGGCAGCCAAAGGGCUUUAACUUGCUAUGUGCAGGGUUUUAGAGCAAUACACUGCUCAUACAGACUAGAGGCA
Pelobates cultripes (western spadefoot toad) is the source of this 230-nucleotide non-coding RNA. Lineage: Eukaryota; Metazoa; Chordata; Amphibia; Anura; Pelobatidae. The record is from the annotation of a GenBank genome assembly.